Molecule: ribosomal RNA, 377 nt
Filed under: uncultured bacterium
Lineage: Bacteria
Description: bacterial SSU rRNA
Rfam family: Bacterial small subunit ribosomal RNA
Source: RNAcentral
UAAUACGUAGGGACCGAGCGUUGUCCGGAAUCAUUGGGCGUAAAGAGCGUGUAGGCGGCCAAUUAAGUCCUGCGUGAAAUCUCGGGGCUCAACCCCGAGCGGUCGUGGGAAACUGGUUGGCUAGAGUGCGGGAGAGGAGAGUGGAAUUCCUGGUGUAGCGGUGAAAUGCGCAGAUAUCAGGAAGAACACCCGUGGCGAAGGCGGCUCUCUGGAACGCAACUGACGCUGAGACGCGAAAGCGUGGGGAGCAAACAGGAUUAGAUACCCUGGUAGUCCACGCCGUAAACGAUGGACGCUAGGUGUGGGCGGUGUCGACUCCGUCCGUGCCGAAGCUAACGCAUUAAGCGUCCCGCCUGGGGAGUACGGCCGCAAGGCUA